Lagenorhynchus albirostris (white-beaked dolphin) is the source of this 869-nucleotide long non-coding RNA. RefSeq lists it as uncharacterized. The transcript has 3 exons. The record is from RefSeq and is a predicted model, not a curated record. Lineage: Eukaryota; Metazoa; Chordata; Mammalia; Artiodactyla; Delphinidae.
CAGGAGGCAGGGACUUCACAAAGCCGAAAUGACUUGGUUAGUUGCCUGUGUUCGCCAUGGAAAUAAGGACGCUAACAGACACUGGACAUUGUGGAAUGCGCUUGCCUGCGUGGGUUCAAGUGUGUGUAUGUGCACGUCUCUGAAGAGUGAGCGUGUGUGCAGGCUGGCCGGCCACCUCAAGACCUCAAGGGUUCUUCUGGAGGACGGCUGGCGGGCACGCCUCUGUAGGACUUGGCAGCGCUCAGACAGAACCCCUGAGGAGAGGCAUCAACUAACUAGAGAAAACCUCCCUCCUUCCUGCCUGGGGAGGAGCCGGCCUGAGGAGGCCUAGCCUCCCACCAAGGGCUUCUUCACGGACAAAUGCUCUGCGCCUCAGACUUCUGCCACUGCUCAGAGCCGAAGGAAAAACAGAUCUUGGCUACGUAGUAAUACCGUCUUUGAAGGAAGCGUAAACCCUCCGGCUCUUGGAAGCCACAACAAAACACCAAAUUCUUUUCUAACUAGGGACCGACUAUCCACAAACUCCCACUCCUGGCCCACAAGAGAAGAGCGACGGCUCCCCAGUGUGGGUCAUGGUGUGUGUGUGUGAGCACGCCUGGGCCCCACUGAAAUUCUACAGGAAGACGAAGCAUGAAAGACAGAGCAACAGGACGCCUCACAUCGACAAUGGAACCCGGACGCAGUAGGAAUCGGCUUCUCAGCACAGAGAAAACCUGCGGGAGUUGAUGUUCAUCUUGGUGACCCCAAUGAGCUUGAGUGGCGCGGAGAGACUGAAGGAGGAGGCGAGCGGGGCGUCGCAGAAGAGGUCGGACAGCUCGUCCCGCUCCUCCAGCUCGUAGGUGGCGUCGUUGAGCAUCCGCCGGUGGAGG